UACGUAGGGUGCGAGCGUUGUCCGGAAUUAUUGGGCGUAAAGGGCGCGUAGGCGGCGUGACAAGUCACUUGUGAAAUCUCCGGGCUUAACUCGGAGCGGUCAAGUGAUACUGUCGUGCUAGAGUGCGGAAGGGGCUACUGGAAUUCUCGGUGUAGCGGUGAAAUGCGUAGAUAUCGAGAGGAACACCUGCGGCGAAGGCGGGUAGCUGGGCCGAUACUGACGCUGAGGAGCGAAAGCGUGGGGAGCGAACAGG
This 253-nucleotide ribosomal RNA is filed under the name uncultured bacterium. RNAcentral describes it as "partial 16S ribosomal RNA". It matches the Rfam family "Bacterial small subunit ribosomal RNA", at positions 524 to 776 of the family's 1533-position model. The record is from RNAcentral.